This 194-nucleotide ribosomal RNA is filed under the name uncultured bacterium. RNAcentral's name for it is "partial 16S ribosomal RNA". It matches the Rfam family "Bacterial small subunit ribosomal RNA", at positions 335 to 526 of the family's 1533-position model. The record is from RNAcentral.
ACUCCUACGGGAGGCAGCAGUGAGGAAUAUUGGUCAAUGGGCGAUAGCCUGAACCAGCCAAGUAGCGUGAAGGAUGACUGCCCUAUGGGUUGUAAACUUCUUUUAUAAAGGAAUAAAGUCGGGUAUGCAUACCCGUUUGCAUGUACUUUAUGAAUAAGGAUCGGCUAACUCCGUGCCAGCAGCCGCGGUAAUAC